AUGCCUUUGCCAUUGUGGUCACUGCUGUCUGCCCGCCUGCACACCACCCCACUGACCACUCUAACUGUGACCCUACUGGCUACACUGUCUGCCGUGGCUCCCUCUGCCCGCCUAAGUGUGGGCCCCGUGACCACUCCAGUCCCUUGAAUCCACUGACUGCCUACGGGCGACAUCACUAGCAAGUCUGCUUGAGUGUCCCCCAUUUUUACUUCCAGUCCCAGGAUGUUCCCACUGACCACUCCACUGGCAUCUCUGCUUGUUUCCCCAUUGCCCUCUGGCCCCCAGCUUCUCCCCCACUGACCACCUUAAAGUGUGACUCCCAGUUGGCCACUCCUAACCCAUUGGCCCUGUGGCCCUGCCCACCUACAUCCCCCCCACCCCCACCACUGACAGAUCCUUCUUGGACCACUUGUCCCAGCUCGAACCCCACUCGCUAGUGUCCUCUACUGCCUGUUGUGCCCAAGUG
RNAcentral lists this long non-coding RNA (466 nucleotides) under Homo sapiens (human). Its description in RNAcentral is "HSALNT0047513". The record is from RNAcentral. Lineage: Eukaryota; Metazoa; Chordata; Mammalia; Primates; Hominidae.